This 406-nucleotide ribosomal RNA is filed under the name uncultured bacterium. RNAcentral describes it as "partial 16S ribosomal RNA". It matches the Rfam family "Bacterial small subunit ribosomal RNA", at positions 29 to 526 of the family's 1533-position model. The record is from RNAcentral.
AGUGAACGCUGGCGGCAGGCCUAACACAUGCAAGUCGAACGAGUGGCGGACGGGUGAGGAAUACAUCGGCAUCUACUCUGUCGUGGGGGAUAACGUAGGGAAACUUACGCUAAUACCGCAUACGAUUGAAUGAGCCGAGGUCGGAUGAGCUAGUUGGGGGGGUAAAGGCCCACCAAGGCGACGAUCCGUAGCUGGGCUGUGCGAAUGAUCAGCCACACUGGAACUGAGACACGGUCCAGACUCCUACGGGAGGCAGCAGUGGGGAAUAUUGGACAAUGGGCGAAAGCCUGAUCCAGCCAUGCCGCGUGGGUGAAGAAGGCCUUCGGGUUGUAAAGCACUUUUGUUGGGAAAGCGGUACCCAAAGAAGAAGCACCGGCUAACUUCGUGCCAGCAGCCGCGGUAAUAC